GGGCGGACGCUCGCGGCCGGAUCGGGGCCGGCGGUGCUGUCGGGCCCGGCUCGCUGCACGGCCUGCCUGGCACGGCGUAGGCAGUCAGGCCGUGACCCCAUUUCUUCCACUAUGCUAUUAAACGAGGAGCUGCAGGAGCGGCAGCAUGUGCCCUGUCUGCCCUGAGAUGGCAGCGGGACAUUUGGGCACGGAUCCGGCGAAAGCGGAGGGUGCCCUGGUGCGCUGAACGGCUGAACAUGGAUCACUCCUGCCGUAAACCAGUACGCAGGCAGCAUCAAGAGAGAAUAGGAUUUGUCGCACCAACACUGAAUGAAGACUAAGCUUCAGCCCUUUAUACGGAACUGCUGAAAGAGGAAGUUGCAAUUCUUGCAGACAAAGCAGUCAGUCUUGUCUGCAUGAGACCAUGCCUCUCACAGAAGGCAAAUGAUGUCUUACUUCAAAAACUUCAUGAAAUGCAAACUCAUUGAUUCACUGUUCUUAGAAUUACUACACUUGAAUAACUGGGGAAAGUUAUGGUUCCUACUCACAUCAAAUUAAGAGUUAUAGUCUGAUUUACUCUGAAGACUACAGAAAUAAAAAGAAAAAAAGGCAUAAACAUUCUUUUAGCAUACAGGGACUUUUCUACUAGCAGGAAGAGCUUUUUAGAUAAAUGGUGAACUAAAACUUAACAAGUACGGAACAGAAUUUUUUCAUAGCUAGAAAAAGCCUCUGAAAAUGUGAAGUUGCCAAUAAAAAGGAAUGCAAGAGCUAAGUACAUAAUAUAGCAAUACUUGUGUGCUAUUGCAAGAGGAAGAAUAGAUUUCUAUCACUAAAUCAGUAGAACACUAACUGCUUAAAAAGGCGAGCUGUGAUGUCAUGUUAGUGAGGUGCUCCACAGAUUGAGUGUGUAUCAUUUUAUCUUCACCUCUGUCUGCAGAAAUAAGGUGUGCUUCAGGUUGUAAACUUGGGUGCUUUUCAUGAUUGAAAUAAUAGAUUGGACCUUUUGCUUUAUAUUGUAUGUGUCUAGAUUAAGACAAAUGUGUGGUAAUGUGUUCUGGUUUUACUCCACACUGCUUCACAGUUGCCUGCAAGAUCUGGUAGGAUGGUGACAGUACCACAUUUCCUUGGACAAGUAUCAGAACUUCAACUUGAACAAUGUGGGAUUAAGUUUUACUCAUUUUAGAAGAGCACUCCUAUCCAACAUAUGGACAAGACAGUAUGAAGAAGCACACUCCUUAAAUUGACAAUGAUUUAUUGUGUUUAGGAACAUUCAAUAAAUACCAAUCUUUGAGCUUUA
Catharus ustulatus (Swainson's thrush) is the source of this 1276-nucleotide long non-coding RNA. RefSeq lists it as uncharacterized. Lineage: Eukaryota; Metazoa; Chordata; Aves; Passeriformes; Turdidae. The record is from RefSeq and is a predicted model, not a curated record. The transcript is spliced from 2 exons.